This 477-nucleotide ribosomal RNA is filed under the name Candidatus Scalindua marina (nom. nud.). RNAcentral's name for it is "bacterial SSU rRNA". It matches the Rfam family "Bacterial small subunit ribosomal RNA", at positions 365 to 832 of the family's 1533-position model. The record is from RNAcentral. Lineage: Bacteria; Pseudomonadati; Planctomycetota; Candidatus Brocadiia; Candidatus Brocadiales; Candidatus Scalinduaceae.
UUCGCAAUGCCCGAAAGGGUGACGAAGCGACGCCGCGUGGGUGAGGAAGGCCCUCGGGUUGUAAAGCCCUGUCAGGAGUUAAGAAAUGUAAGUGCGCUAAUAUCGCAUUUAUUUGACGAAGGCUCCAAAGGAAGCCACGGCUAACUCUGUGCCAGCAGCCGCGGUAAUACAGAGGUGGCAAGCGUUGUUCGGAAUUAUUGGGCGUAAAGAGCACGUAGGUGGGUUUGUAAGUCAGAUGUGAAAGCCUUCUGUUCAACGGAAGAAUUGCAUCUGAAACUACAAGUCUUGAGUGUAGGAGGGGAGAAUGGAACUUCUGGUGGAGCGGUGAAAUGCGUAGAUAUCAGAAGGAACGCCGGCGGCGAAGGCGAUUCUCUGGCCUAUUACUGACACUCAGUGUGCGAAAGCUAGGGGAGCAAACGGGAUUAGAUACCCCGGUAGUCCUAGCCGUAAACGAUGGGCACUAAGUAGAGGGGUUUU